GCGCCCUCUUCUGGCUUCCACAGUCGCCAGGCUUGCCCAUGGUGCACAGAUAUUCAUGUACACAUAACAUCUGUUUAGAAGAUUAGAACAGGAAAAAUGGUAUGUUCUGGAGUGGAAACAUAAGUUAGAUUUUAAUUUCAGGAAGCUGGCCAAGGUGGUGCUUUCCUAAAUAAUACUUGGAAUUCUAGACAUCUGUCCAAGUUCAAGUGUUGUGAGCAUGGGGGUGUAGCUCAGCGGAGGAGUACUGGCCCUAGUUUUUUUGUUGUUUGAUACCAGGUUUCACUAUGUAGCCUUGGAUGACCUGGAACUCACGUAGACUGGGCUGGUAUCAAACUCACAGACACUCACCCAUCUGCCUCCUCCAGGGGCUGGGGCUAAGGGCAUGUGCCACCACGCCCAGCCAGGCCCUAGUGGCAUGGGAAGCACAUAAGGACAGAAACGUGGAAGACACAUUCCUUCUGGAACCUAAGUGUCAGUGUUAGCACUAAAACCGGUUCUCUUGUUUUCAUUUGCUUGCCCAGGACACUCUUAAGGACAGGAGUGAGGGUGCCCUCAGCCUCCUCACCCAGCUUCAGCAGCAGAGUGUGUUCCUAGCUGUCAACUAGACUCUCAGUGACCCCCAGGAGUCCGCAGAUGGCUUUGUGUUUGCUUAGUUUUUCAUUCUGGAAUACUGCAAACCCUGUCCUCAGAGACCCGCAAUCUCUUGAGGGUGGAGACCAGGUAUAAGCUUUCCAGGGUUUUCUUGCUUAGCUGUGAUGGACUGAGUCUGACUUUACCGUACAUAAGUGAUCUGUUGUCUUAAGAUUUUCGUGUUUUCUAUGUGACUGUUUCUUCUUUUGUUUCCUUUUUUUUUUUUUUUUUGUAACAAAAAUGUGUUUGUAAUGUUUUUAUUCUCCUGGGUGUUUUUAAACACACUGUCUUUCUGGCUAUUGUUCAUUCACUGAAGACUGAUUUUUAUUGUACCCGUUCCAACUUUUUCUCCCCUGGUGGCCACACUUGGGAACACACAGAUGUGCACAGGGAGCCGAGAGCUGCAAGCUGUGCCGCUGUCUUGUCCCUGUCUGCCUUGGAAGGUUUUCCUGCCCUCUGGUUGAUGGUCUAGUAGAAUCUGUUACUACUUUGGAAUGUUUGGGCUUUGUUUGUUCGUGUGUGUGUGUUAAGUUGUUGGUUGGUUUUAUUCAUGGAUAUGCAGCUUUACUCUUUAACCCAGAUUUAAAAAAAAAAAUAAAAAAUAAUAAUGU
Molecule: long non-coding RNA, 1241 nt
Filed under: Mus musculus (house mouse)
Lineage: Eukaryota; Metazoa; Chordata; Mammalia; Rodentia; Muridae
Description: long non-coding RNA chr4:59760197-59761438
Source: RNAcentral